CCUCGAGGAAGCUUGGAUCGAACGUAGCGUGAGAAAUGUGUCGUCGAAGAUAAAGAGGAAAGAAUACACAACUGAGAACUGACACGAUGAAUUUUUAUUUUUAUACUGAAUGAGUGCUAUAAUCUGAGACACGUUCCUUUGGAGACUUUAUGGAUUUACAUAAGUUCAUAUGGAUAUAUCCAACUGCCUGGGUUGCGUUGAAGCGAUGGAGGAGUUUUGUUUUAAGAUUUGAGGAGAAUUUUGAGAAAGGGAACUAUAUGUCUAGUGUAUAUGUAUGUCGAGUAUAUUUCCUAGCGAAGCAGUUGAAUUAUCGUGAAACUUUAAUUCAUACAUUGCAAAUAUAACAAGCAUUUCUUUGAAUAUAUUAUAAUUAUUGUAGAUUUUUAUGUACACCUAUAUUUUUACGAAUACAAGUAAAGAAAUAGAAU
This 428-nucleotide unclassified non-coding RNA is filed under the name Bombus terrestris (buff-tailed bumblebee). RNAcentral's name for it is "misc RNA ENSBTSG00005022676.1". Lineage: Eukaryota; Metazoa; Arthropoda; Insecta; Hymenoptera; Apidae. The record is from RNAcentral.